UAGCAAGGUUAACCGAAUAGGGGAGCCGCAGGGAAACCGAGUCUUAACCGGGCGUUAAGUUGCAGGGUAUAGACCCGAAACCCGGUGAUCUAGCCAUGGGCAGGUUGAAGGUUGGGUAACACUAACUGGAGGACCGAACCGACUAAUGUUGAAAAAUUAGCGGAUGACCUGUGGCUGGGGGUGAAAGGCCAAUCAAACCGGGAGAUAGCUGGUUCUCCCCGAAAGCUAUUUAGGUAGCGCCUCGUGAAUUCAUCUCCGGGGGUAGAGCACUGUUUCGGCUAGGGGGCCAUCCCGGCUUACCAACCCGAUGCAAACUGCGAAUACCGGAGAAUGUUAUCACGGGAGACACACGGCGGGUGCUAACGUCCGUCGUGAAGAGGGAAACAACCCAGACCGCCAGCUAAGGUCCCAAAGUCAUGGUUAAGUGGGAAACGAUGUGGGAAGGCCCAGACAGCCAGGAUGUUGGCUUAGAAGCAGCCAUCAUUUAAAGAAAGCGUAAUAGCUCACUGGUCGAGUCGGCCUGCGCGGAAGAUGUAACGGGGCUAAACCAUGCACCGAA
This 559-nucleotide ribosomal RNA is filed under the name Salmonella enterica subsp. enterica serovar Korlebu. Its description in RNAcentral is "partial 23S ribosomal RNA". It matches the Rfam family "Bacterial large subunit ribosomal RNA", at positions 638 to 1198 of the family's 2925-position model. The record is from RNAcentral. Lineage: Bacteria; Pseudomonadati; Pseudomonadota; Gammaproteobacteria; Enterobacterales; Enterobacteriaceae.